RNAcentral lists this ribosomal RNA (497 nucleotides) under uncultured bacterium. RNAcentral describes it as "partial 16S ribosomal RNA". It matches the Rfam family "Bacterial small subunit ribosomal RNA", at positions 28 to 507 of the family's 1533-position model. The record is from RNAcentral.
GAUGAACGCUGGCGGCGUGCCUAAUACAUGCAAGUCGAGCGAACGGACGAGAAGCUUGCUUCUCUGAUGUUAGCGGCGGACGGGUGAGUAACACGUGGAUAACCUACCUAUAAGACUGGGAUAACUUCGGGAAACCGUAGCUAAUACCGGAUAAUAUUUUGAACCGCAUGGUUCAAAAGUGAAAGACGGUCUUGCUGUCACUUAUAGAUGGAUCCGCGCUGCAUUAGCUAGUUGGUAAGGUAACGGCUUACCAAGGCAACGAUGCAUAGCCGACCUGAGAGGGUGAUCGGCCACACUGGAACUGGGACACGGUCCAGACUCCUACGGGAGGCAGCAGUAGGGAAUCUUCCGCAAUGGGCGAAAGCCUGACGGAGCAACGCCGCGUGAGUGAUGAAGGUCUUCGGAGCGUAAAACUCUGUUACUAGGGAAGAACAUAUGUGUAAGUAAAUGUGCACAUCUUGACGGUAACUAAUCAGAAAGCAACGGCUAACUACGUG